This 76-nucleotide transfer RNA is filed under the name Candidatus Komeilibacteria bacterium RIFOXYC1_FULL_37_11. Its description in RNAcentral is "tRNA-Lys". It matches the Rfam family "tRNA". From Rfam's summary of the family: Transfer RNA (tRNA) molecules are approximately 80 nucleotides in length. Their secondary structure includes four short double-helical elements and three loops (D, anti-codon, and T loops). Further hydrogen bonds mediate the characteristic L-shaped molecular structure. tRNAs have two regions of fundamental functional importance: the anti-codon, which is responsible for specific mRNA codon recognition, and the 3' end, to which the tRNAs corresponding amino acid is attached (by aminoacyl-tRNA synthetases). tRNAs cope with the degeneracy of the genetic code in two manners: having more than one tRNA (with a specific anti-codon) for a particular amino acid; and 'wobble' base-pairing, i.e. permitting non-standard base-pairing at the 3rd anti-codon position. RNAcentral also lists the same sequence under 2 other names. Lineage: Bacteria; Candidatus Komeiliibacteriota. The record is from RNAcentral.
GCCCUUAUAGCUCAGUUGGUAGAGCAGUUGCCUCUUAAGCAAACGGUCCCAGGUUCGAAUCCUGGUGAGGGCACCA